RNAcentral lists this transfer RNA (70 nucleotides) under Marmota monax (woodchuck). RNAcentral describes it as "tRNA.Thr". The record is from RNAcentral. Lineage: Eukaryota; Metazoa; Chordata; Mammalia; Rodentia; Sciuridae.
UGUAUGUAGCUUAGGGGUUGAGCACUUGCCUAGUGUAUGCAAGGCCUGGGUUCAGUACCCAGCACUACAA